This 1063-nucleotide long non-coding RNA is filed under the name Eucalyptus grandis. RNAcentral describes it as "long non-coding RNA (EGRA_LNC000816)". The record is from RNAcentral. Lineage: Eukaryota; Viridiplantae; Streptophyta; Magnoliopsida; Myrtales; Myrtaceae.
GUGGCAUCAAAGAAACAUGCAGGUGGGCAUGUUCUGGGUCAUGCAACCACAAUUAGGUUGAUGUUUACGAAUGGCAAAGGUGAGCAGUGGGUUGCAAGGUGUUCAAAGCCCCAGACCUACCUAAAGCUGAAGCUAUAUCCUUUUUGUCUGCAUCUUCGUCUAGCUAUACGCUUUAUCAAAAUUUUCCAGAUUACACUGCAGACAUUAAACGAAAUUUCUAGAAAUCUAAUAUCAAUCGGAGAGAAAGUUGAUACUGAGUCUAUAUAUGGAUAGGUGGAGACCAGAAUUUGAGCAGUAUACUUGUAGUAUACUUACAUGUGCUGCCCGUGCUAUGGAAACAAAAUACCCAACCAUUGAUGAUGCCAUACUACAGAUCUUCCUCUAGUUAUAUACUUCGUUGAAAUUUUUCAGACCAUACUGCAGAGACCAAGUAAAAUAUCUGGAAGUCUAUAUCAAAAUCUGGGAGAAAGUCGAUACUUAGUCUACAUAGGGAUAGGUGGAGACCUGUUUUAAGCAUGAUACUCACUGUAUACUUGAUGUUGCCUGGAGAUUCAUGAACAUGUUGAAUACGAAUUUUGUCCAGAGAAAUUAAACAAAAAGAAGUAGCUAUUGAGAAUUUUCCUCAGUAGGAUCGGUAUGUUAUUUUUAGUUGUGCUGUUAUGUAGACGAUGCACAUCUAUCAAGACCAUCACUUGAUUUUAUCAAAAAAUUUAGGAAGAGCUCAUCUGUCAAUAAGAUGAGACUGAGAUAUUCCAUAUAUGUUGAACUUGACAAACACAUGUUUUUCAGAUAACACCAGGAGGCAUCAUCGAUAUGAAGGACUGAAGGAGUCUCACCAACCAGGAAGACUGGCGAAGUGCUUUUUUUUGUUAAUCUGCAAUUUGAUGUUAGUCAUCGUAUUGACCGCAAGAGGCAUAUAAUGAGCUCCCGAGCACUUGUUCAUUUCCUUUCUCUGCAAUGGACACUUUGUCACCCUUGUCAUAGCUUGUCCCUAAGUUUCAUGCGCUUGACAACAAACCAUUCAUGAAUGACAUGAGAUACUUUCUCUAACUGUGAUGGUGAC